This 254-nucleotide ribosomal RNA is filed under the name uncultured bacterium. Its description in RNAcentral is "partial 16S ribosomal RNA". It matches the Rfam family "Bacterial small subunit ribosomal RNA", at positions 1238 to 1500 of the family's 1533-position model. The record is from RNAcentral.
ACGAGAAGGCAGCUACACGGCGACGUGAUGCUAAUCCCCAAAACCUCUCUCAGUUCGGAUUGGAGUCUGCAACCCGACUCCAUGAAGCUGGAUUCGCUAGUAAUCGCGCAUCAGCCACGGCGCGGUGAAUACGUUCCCGGGCCUUGUACACACCGCCCGUCAAGCCAUGAAAGCCGGGGGUACCUGAAGUCCGUAACCGUAAGGAGCGGCCUAGGGUAAAACUGGUAAUUGGGGCUAAGUCGUAACAAGGUACC